Molecule: long non-coding RNA, 517 nt
Filed under: Bos taurus (domestic cattle)
Lineage: Eukaryota; Metazoa; Chordata; Mammalia; Artiodactyla; Bovidae
Description: long non-coding RNA NONBTAT012002
Source: RNAcentral
UAAAUAGCCAUUUUCAGGCAGGUGGGGAAUAGUGAGACCAGUUUCUUGUGUCAUUUCCCUUAAUUCUGCAGCCACAGAAGAUGGGCGCGUAUGGAGCACUCAUUCUUAUUUUGAGCUGUUUGUGUAUGUUUUGGAAAUUAUGUGAAGAGGCAUUCAUUGAGGGAAAAAAUGGAACACAAUUGAGAGAAAACUACACUACCUGACUUACAGCACCUUUUCUGUGGUCAGCCUUGAGCUCGCUCACGUCCUGGCAGGCUCAGCACCACACCCUGGUGCGUCUCGAGCACAGCAGCUCUGGUGCAGGCUGCGCCCCAGGCCAGCACAGCGGUCUUCUGUCUGCGGGCGCCACUGGCCUCCUGAUCCUCAGGAGCUCCCUAACCGCAGUGGAGAGGCAUUGCUUCUGCUGGAAUAGGCAUUUUACUCUUAUUUAAUUUUGGUCUAAAUUUAUAAAACUUGGUAAAUGAUAAGGUCUUGUUAGUACAGAAGAGCACUAGGGUCAGUCAAGAAGGUGUGGGGG